Molecule: ribosomal RNA, 501 nt
Filed under: uncultured bacterium
Lineage: Bacteria
Description: partial 16S ribosomal RNA
Rfam family: Bacterial small subunit ribosomal RNA
Source: RNAcentral
AUUGAACGCUGGCGGCAUGCCUUACACAUGCAAGUCGAACGGCAGCACGGGUGCUUGCACCUGGUGGCGAGUGGCGAACGGGUGAGUAAUACAUCGGAACGUACCUUAUCGUGGGGGAUAACGCAGCGAAAGCUGUGCUAAUACCGCAUACGCCCUGAGGGGGAAAGCGGGGGAUCGAAAGACCUCGCGCGAUUAGAGCGGCCGAUGCCUGAUGAGCUUGGUGGUGGGGUAAAAGCCCACCAAGGCGACGAUCAGUAGCUGGUCUGAGAGGACGAUCAGCCACACUGGGACAAGGACACGGCCCAGAAUCCUCCGGGAGGCAGCAGUGGGGAAUUUUGCACAAUGGGGGCAACCCUGAGCGAGCAAUGCCGCGUGAGUGAAGAAGGCCUUCGGGUUGUAAAGCUCUUUUGUCAGGGAAGAAACACCGGAUCUAACACAGUCCGGGAAUGACGGUACCUGAAGAAUAAGCACCGGCUAACUACGUGCCAGCAGCCGCAGUAA